This 493-nucleotide ribosomal RNA is filed under the name uncultured bacterium. RNAcentral describes it as "partial 16S ribosomal RNA". It matches the Rfam family "Bacterial small subunit ribosomal RNA", at positions 30 to 523 of the family's 1533-position model. The record is from RNAcentral.
AUUGAACGCUGGCGGCAUGCCUUACACAUGCAAGUCGAACGGUAACAGGUUAAGCUGACGAGUGGCGAACGGGUGAGUAAUAUAUCGGAACGUGCCCAGUCGUGGGGGAUAACGUAGCGAAAGCUACGCUAAUACCGCAUACGAUCUACGGAUGAAAGCGGGGGAUCGCAAGACCUCGCGCGAUUGGAGCGGCCGAUAUCAGAUUAGGUUGUUGGUGAGGUAAAAGCUCACCAAGCCUGCGAUCUGUAGCUGGUCUGAGAGGACGACCAGCCACACUGGAACUGAGACACGGUCCAGACUCCUACGGGAGGCAGCAGUGGGGGAUUUUGGACAAUGGACGCAAGUCUGAUCCAGCAAUGCCGCGUGCAGGACGAAGGCCUUCGGGUUGUAAACUGCUUUUGUACGGAACGAAACGGUGAGCUCUAAUAUAGUUUGCUAAUGACGGUACCGUAAGAAUAAGCACCGGCCAACUACGUGCCAGCAGCCGCAGUAA